CCUACGGGAGGCAGCAGUGAGGAAUAUUGGUCAAUGGUCGGGAGACUGAACCAGCCAAGCCGCGUGAGGGAGGAAGGUACAGAGUAUCGUAAACCUCUUUUGUCAGGGAACAAAGACUGGGAUGCGUCCCUGGAUGCGUGUACCUGAAGAAAAAGCCUCGGCUAACUCGGUGCCAGCAGCCGCGGUAAUACGGAGGAUGCGAGCGUUAUCUGGAUUUAUGUGGCUUAAAGGGUGCGCAGGCGGUUGGUUAAGUCAGCGGUAAAAGCCCGGGGCUCAACCCCGGCCCGCCGUUGAAACUGGCAGUCUCGAGUUGGAGAGAGGGAUGCGGAAUGCGCGGUGUAGCGGUGAAAUGCAUAGAUAUCGCGCAGAACUCCGAUUGCGAAGGCAGCAUGCCGGCUCCACACUGACGCUGAGGCACGAAAGCGUGGGUAUCGAACAGGAUUAGAUACCCGAGUAGUC
RNAcentral lists this ribosomal RNA (459 nucleotides) under uncultured bacterium. Its description in RNAcentral is "partial 16S ribosomal RNA". It matches the Rfam family "Bacterial small subunit ribosomal RNA", at positions 338 to 795 of the family's 1533-position model. The record is from RNAcentral.